CAGGUCAGCUUGGUGAGCGCGCUGCUUCAUAGUGAGCAGUGAGGAAAGUCCGUACACCACAGAGCAGGAAGCCAGGUAACUCCUGGAAAGGCGCAAGCUUUUGGAUCGGGCCACAGAAACAUACCACAUGCCGCAAUUGCGCGCAUGUAAGGGUGAAAAGGUGGUGUAAGAGACCACCGGCGCGGGUAGUAAUAUCCGCGGCCAGGCAACCCCCUUCCGGUGCAAGGUCAAACAGGGGAAAAGCUGAUUGCCAGUGCUGGCUCGGCACUGUUGAUCCCCGGGUAGACCGCUAGAGUGCCCUGGUGACAGUGCACCCAGAUAGAUGCCCACCCGCGACAGAAUACGGCUUAUAGGCUGACCUGAGUG
This is a non-coding RNA of Anaerolineae bacterium 49_20, 366 nucleotides long. NCBI's taxonomy places the organism in Bacteria, Bacillati, Chloroflexota, Anaerolineae. The record is from Rfam.